GGAAGGGGACUUGUGCUUUCAGAAGGGAGAUCUUUUUCUUUUCUUCUUGGCUUCACAUGCUAGAAAGGGAAGUCCAAGCUCUCCUGGUCCGCAGUGGGGUGAGCAGAGGAAUGGAGGAGAAGUGUCAGUCCAAUCCCGGGUCCUCCCUGCAACAGGAUCUUUGCAAUGACUUCAAGAGCUUCAUGGCCGUUCUGCAGACAGAUGCACAAUUGUGAAACAUCAAUAUGGACUGCAAAUCUCUACUGUCAGUCAGCUUCUCUUCCCCUCUGCAUAAUGUAAUCCCUAUCUCCACAAUGCCUGCACAGAUACACGUUAGCAAAGAUGUUUUUCUGGAGAUAGUGUGCAUAGCAAACACUCCCUUACUUGUUCUCAUCUCUAGCAACAUUAUACGGAGUUUCAGUUCACAGUUCCCUGUGUUCCCCCUCCUACCACUGAAAUGCAGCCAACUCUGAGCUGCGGCUAUUAAACAUCACACAAGCAACACCACGAAACAGAUUGUGGAAAGCACGGGAAUUCAGGGAAAAGGAACAAAUUGAGAGAGGUCUGGGAAGUGAUAACAAAGGAUCAUAGGGAAUGAGUUACUCAUGAUGCAGAAUAGCCUUCACCUUGGUGUUCAGGUGCUACCAGCAUGCAAGGGCAAGUUUUUGAGGGUAGCACAAAGAGAUGUCACUAGGAGCAGUCAGGUUUCAGCCAGGGAGACGAGCAAGUCAGCUUCCUUAACCACUGAGUUUUGUCAGUCUGUCAGUCCCAAGGAAAGGGCUGAAGGCAUCAUUGCUUGUGGGUUUUAAAACUGGUCAGUUUCAAGACAGGUCAAGGCACUUUCAGGACGGAUGAAUAAAACAAGGUAGAGCAAGUACUGUAUCUAUUCCCACUUUGUAUGAGUCUGAGAAAACAGUUGGGAGAAAGAUGGAAAGGUCUGAAGGAAUUACAUGUACAAAGUAAGAAAACAGUGUGAACUGGUGUGAUAAUAGGUGUGACUUGGCCAGGGAAAAGCUUCCAAAGACAGUGCUCUUCUUUGACAACAUGAUAACCUUAAGGUGAGAAAGGAGGAAAAAGGGGAAGAUAUGCAAUAAAUCAGAGGAAAGAGAAAUGUGUGUGAAUGUAUGUAGCUGUUUAUGUGUGUGUAGCACAACACGAUUCUCAUUCAUAUUGGAAAGUAAGUGUCUGCAUCUCAGUUUGCUUACACUAGUGGCUUGAAGAGGGCACCUUGGCACAAAACCUGCACAUGGAUUCUUGCUGCUUUAGGUAAAGUGAUGAGUGGGGAAGGUAGCCAGACACUUUCACUGAGCAUUCAAUGGACAGCUAAGAAGCAACUGCAAAAGUCUGUUCCCAACUCAAGUUGCAUAGCAACACCAAAUUGUCAGAUUGCUGUUAUGUCAGUCCCUUACAUUAUCCCCAUUAUUACAGCCGGUUUUAGGAAUCACGCAGUACGAUAUUACUAGCCCACUUCCCAGCUGGAUAUGUGACCUUUGUCUCUUGCUGAAUGAUGCCAUGUAAUUUGCUGCAAAGGUGUCUCAAAGUAGUACACCAGAGAGAAAAAUCUUUGAGGAUUCACCAACACAGACCAUAAGGAGCAAAGGAUGGGCCUGUGCAGGAUGGGGCAGGAGGGGCGGUUCAGGGCACAUCAGUAUCCUCAAAGAAGUCUAGUGUCUGCCAAACUCAUCAGGAUGUGUGUUACCCCAUCACUUCUCUGAACUGAGUCAUUGAUCCAGCUGAAAGCCUGUAUUAAGGCCAAGGCAACCAGGGUCGCUGGAUACCAAGGUGUGGCCGGAGUUUUAAGGAUGCUAAUAAACUGAAUGAACUCCUUUACUGUGAACAUCAGAGUGACGUGGACUUAGGACAUCAGGUAUAAUGAAAAUUACCUUACAGGCCUUUUGCACUGGAUGAUGGGGAGAGUGACCUGCUUAAGCAAGUAAUUCUCAGUGAUGUAUCUCCUUUCUGAAGAGUGCCUGGUUGUAAAUUCUACCAGCUUUUUCAAGAUCACUGCUGCAAAUUAUGAACCAGCAAACAGACCUCAGAAGGACAAGAUAGACUGCCUGUUCCCUCUGUAUAGAGUAAUGGAAUUAUUCUGCUUAAUUAAAACAACUGAUGAGAAAACAAAGAGCCUCAAGAUUCAGUUCCUCUGUAUCUGUGCCCAGAAUGCAAAGUACGCAAGUGGCACAACACCUGGACUAGGACCUGCAAGUCACUCUUGCUUGAUAGCAAGGAGACUGAGCUCAAAGUCUAACACAGCAGAUGAUAAACAUCCACGUAGGACAUUGCUAGAAGAGAUCUAAUGGCUGUGGAGUUACCCUUAACAAAUGAACAUCUCUUUAAUGCAAAAUAGCUUAGCAGUUCUUAUGAAAAAGGAACAAAAGCUGUUUGUCUGAUUUUCACCUUUCUUCCCUUUAGUACUCCCCUGAACUGCUGGAUGGGCCACUCCAAAAAGCUUAUUUCCUUCUCCAGGAGAGAGUCUUCUCUCUGUAUUUCCGAUUUAUCUCGCUUCCCACUGAGGAUGAGGGAUUUGAGAUUGAUGCCUUUUCCUGGU
This is a long non-coding RNA of Corvus hawaiiensis (hawaiian crow), 2527 nucleotides long. RefSeq lists it as uncharacterized. The transcript is spliced from 3 exons. NCBI's taxonomy places the organism in Eukaryota, Metazoa, Chordata, Aves, Passeriformes, Corvidae. The record is from RefSeq and is a predicted model, not a curated record.